This 55-nucleotide transfer RNA is filed under the name Araneus ventricosus. RNAcentral describes it as "tRNA-Thr". The record is from RNAcentral. Lineage: Eukaryota; Metazoa; Arthropoda; Arachnida; Araneae; Araneidae.
UGUUAAUUAGUUUAAGUAAAAUAAAAACUUUGUAAGUUUUAGAUUCUAUAGGCAU